GGACGUGAGGGUGAUCUGGCUGCGACAUCUGUCACCUCACUGAUCGCCAGGGUUGAUGCGGCUGAUCUGGCUGGCUUGGCGGGUGUCCCCUUUCUCCCUCGAUGAUCCAUGUGCGUCCCUCCCGAAGCUGUGCGACCGGUCGAAGAGGACAACCGCCCCUGAUAGAGGAGGACCGUUCCUCGGUCAAGGGCAUACGAGUAGCUGCGCUCCCCUGCUAGAACCUCCAAACACGCUCUCAAGAAAUUAAGUGACCUGCUUCAUAAUUAAGAUGGCUAAGCUGUAGUGAUCAAGCACUUUUAUAGUCAUAUAUAACUGAACAUAUAUCAAAUUUUCUGCAUAU
Molecule: small nuclear RNA, 340 nt
Filed under: Octodon degus (degu)
Lineage: Eukaryota; Metazoa; Chordata; Mammalia; Rodentia; Octodontidae
Description: 7SK RNA (ENSODEG00000023069.1)
Rfam family: 7SK RNA
About the family: 7SK was discovered as an abundant small nuclear RNA in the mid-70s but a possible function has only recently been suggested. Two independent studies have found that 7SK RNA binds the CDK9/cyclin T complex (known as elongation factor P-TEFb). P-TEFb activates transcription by phosphorylating the C-terminal domain of RNA polymerase II.
Source: Rfam by way of RNAcentral